AACGAACGCUGGCGGCAUGCCUAACACAUGCAAGUCGAACGAGACCUUCGGGUCUAGUGGCGCACGGGUGCGUAACGCGUGGGAACCUGCCCUUAGGUUCGGAAUAACUCCCCGAAAGGGGUGCUAAUACCGGAUAAUGUCUUCGGACCAAAGAUUUAUCGCCUUUGGAUGGGCCCGCGUUGGAUUAGCUAGUGGGUAGGGUAAAAGCCUACCAAGGCGACGAUCCAUAGCUGGUCUGAGAGGAUGAUCAGCCACACUGGGACUGAGACACGGCCCAGACCCUAAGGGAAGGAGGAGGGGGGAAAAAUUGAAAAAGGGGCGAAGCCUGAUCCAGCAAUGCCGCGUGAGUGAUGAAGGCCUUAGGGUUGUAAAGCUCUUUUACCCGGGAUGAUAAUGACAGUACCGGGAGAAUAAGCUCCGGCUAACUCCGUG
RNAcentral lists this ribosomal RNA (432 nucleotides) under uncultured bacterium. RNAcentral describes it as "partial 16S ribosomal RNA". It matches the Rfam family "Bacterial small subunit ribosomal RNA", at positions 29 to 507 of the family's 1533-position model. The record is from RNAcentral.